RNAcentral lists this long non-coding RNA (1749 nucleotides) under Canis lupus familiaris (dog). RNAcentral's name for it is "lncRNA (ENSCAFG00845029475.1)". The record is from RNAcentral. Lineage: Eukaryota; Metazoa; Chordata; Mammalia; Carnivora; Canidae.
AUGGAGAGACUCGAUUUUGCUCCUCUUAGAGGGCUGUUGUGCUUUUUAAUAGGGCACCUCUUUCACGCUCACCCAAUUGCAUUCAAAAACGUGUGUGGCCCCCACACGCUCGCUAGUGUGCGUCCCGUGGUGUGUCCUCUGCCAUCCGGCUUUCGGCACCUCCGCGGGUCACCACGAGUCUCCUCUUCAUCCCUAAGGGCGGAUGAGGCGAGCCACGCUGCAGAAGGGAGGCAAGGUCAGCUGGUAUACCGCUCAACUUACAGCAUGAUUUGGUUGCCAUCGGGCUAUAUGGACACCUCUCCCUUCAUGGAGAAAUGCUAAAAUCACAGAAGUCCUGCUAUCACAAUGCUGUUGGGAUCUUCUUCUCUAUCAUGUAAGCUGAAAGAGGGAUCCCUGGGUGGCGCAGCGGUUUGGCGCCUGCCUUUGGCCCAGGGCGCGAUCCUGGAGACCCGGGAUUGAAUCCCACAUUGGGCUCCCGGUGCAUGGAGCCUGCCUCUCCCUCGGCCUAUGUCUCUGCCUCUCUCUCUGUGACUAUCAUAAAUAAAAAAAAAUAUUAAGCUGAAAGAGCUGGUGCACUACACUUUUCUGAUAUUUUGCAAAAUCAAAACUACUUGUUAGUUUUAAAUGGCAUGGAAAAAAUUAGGACAUGGCAAUACAAUUAUAGUUUGCAUUUCCAGUUGAGCCAGAUAUGUUAAACACGAGGGGUUUUUGUCCUCGUUCUCAUGUUGGUGGUAUGUUUUUUCUCCAGUUUUUGUACUUCCUGGAAACAUAUGCAUGGAAGGAAGGAAGGAUAAGGAUGGAAAGGAAGUAAAGAAGGAAGGAGGGAAGGGGCAGGGAGGGAGGAACUGAUAUGCCAGUAGAUAAGAAUAAUGCUCGAGAAUUAUACAUACUGCACAGAAAGAUUCAUGAAGAUUUGAAGAUAGAAUCAGCACCCAACAGGAAAAAAAAAGGAAUUGUAUGAUUUCCACAGUAGCGAUGUUAAUCAUUACAAUGACCUAACAGCAAGGAACCUGGAAAAGCCUUUAGUGUUUUCUCUCAUUUUUCAGCAAAAUAUCCAGAGUGUCCCCACAACACACUAUAUUAUUUUAUGUCUGUUUUCAUACGAAGUCAUUCUCUGCAUCUAAACUAAACUUCUCUCCUGCCUGAACUCUCUGCCAGUGAUUCCUGUAGGCAGUGGGGAACAUGAGAGAACAUGAGAGCCACAUCAUUUCUGGGGUGGUGGGGUCCCUCAGGCUGAUAUAACAGGAGAAGCAGAAAUUCCUCAUACAGGUGAAAAGUAGGGCUAGGGAGUAACCCACUUACCCCAAGGUAAGCAGUUGAACUCAGUACUGCAUAAAUAUAGAGAAAAGAACGCUGGGGAGCAAUAUGAAUAAAACCUGGAAAGAAGAUGCACUAGAGGGCACAAACCUGCAAGUCAAUUAUGGGUAAGGGACACAGAGGUCAUCUGAGGUUGUCACUUUCCAUAACAGAAAUGGUCUCUUGAUGUGACCAUCGUUUGCAAACGCAAGGAACUAUAUUUAUUUCUAAUGAAAUAGCCAAAUAGUCUGGGAGUAUUUACAUUCCAAGGUUUUGUGGAAUCAUCACUUUAUUCAUUCAUUCAUUCCUUCAUUCAACUAAUUUAAUCUAUCAUCAUCAUCAUCAUCAUCAUCAUCACUGAUGUCAAGCAUUCUUCACCUUUCCCUGUUAACCAGACAAAUGCCGUACAUCUGAUUAAUUAAUUCCAGUGGUUCUCAAUUCUAGCUGUAUAUU